GAUGAACGCUGGCGGCGUGCUUAACACAUGCAAGUCGAACGAAGCACUCUAGUUGAUUUCCUUCGGGACUGAGGCGUUUGUGACUGAGUGGCGGACGUGUGAGUAACGCGUGGGUAACCUGCCUUGUACAGGGGGAGGACAGUAGGGAACGGCUGCUAAUGCCGCAUAAGCGCGCGGCAUCGCAUGAUGCAGUGUGAAAAAGUCCGGUGGCAUAAGAUGGACCCGCGUUGGAUUAGCUAGUCGGUGAGGUAAAGGCGUAGCAAGGCCGCGAGGCAUGGCCGAGCGGGGAGGCUGCCCGGCCGGGUUGGGACUGAGACACGGCCCACACUCCGACGGGAGGCAGCAGUGGGGUAUAUUACGCGAUGGACGAAAGCCUGAUGCAGCGACGCCGCGUGAGCGAGGCAGUAGUUCGGUAUGUAAUGUUCUAUCAGCAGGGGCGAUAAUGACGGUACCUGACAAAGAAGCACCGGCUAACUACGUG
Molecule: ribosomal RNA, 481 nt
Filed under: uncultured bacterium
Lineage: Bacteria
Description: partial 16S ribosomal RNA
Rfam family: Bacterial small subunit ribosomal RNA
Source: RNAcentral